AUUGAACGCUGGCUGCAGGCUUAACACAUGCAAGUCGAGCGAGCGGCGGACGGGUGAGUAAUGUCUGGGAAACUGCCUGAUGGAGGGGGAUAACUACUGGAAACGGUAGCUAAUACCGCAUACCAUCAGAUGUGCCCAGAUGGGAUUAGCAAGUAGGUGGGGUAAUGGCUCACCUAGUCGACGAUCCCUAGCUGGGCUGCGAGGAUGACCAGCCAACCUGGAGCGGAGACAGUGUCCAAACUCCUACGGGAGGAAGCAGUGGGGAAUAUUGCACAAGGGGCGCAAGCCGGAUGCAGCCAUGCCGCGUGUGUGAAGAAGGCCUUCGGGUUGUAAAGCACUUUCAGCGAGGAGGCGUUACUCGCAGAAGAAGAACCGGCUAACUCCGUGCCAGCAGCCGCGGUAAUAC
This 406-nucleotide ribosomal RNA is filed under the name uncultured bacterium. Its description in RNAcentral is "partial 16S ribosomal RNA". It matches the Rfam family "Bacterial small subunit ribosomal RNA", at positions 30 to 526 of the family's 1533-position model. The record is from RNAcentral.